AAAGAAAGGUAAAGAGAAGAAGAAAAUAAGAAAAGAAAGGACAGGACAAGGAAGUGCUAACGCAACUGCACCCAUAUUCAGAAAUCAUCCUACUAAUUAAUACAAAGAUGAAAGAGAAGAAAACAACAUGAAAGUCUGGAAAGGAAGCAUAUUGCUACCCACUACCAAAAGUAAUUUGUUAGUGACCUUACUUGCGCAAACUGUGAACACCAGGGUUACCUAUCUUAUCAGAUGGGAGCAAAUAAAAUCUGAGCCUUAUUUUAUCUGAACAAUGCCUUCAGUUUGGUAAGACUCAGACAUAAUUUUGAAGACAAUAUUAGCCAGUGCUGCUGCAGACCUUUGACAUUAUCAAGAGUACCAGCUAACUGGAGACACAUGUCAGAAGACGCUAUUGGGAGUGGACUUGGCAGUGUUGGGAUAACAACUGGACUCAAUGAUCAUAAAGUUACUUCACCUCUGACAUUUCAAGAAAGGACAUGAAAGCAAGACUUUACGAUAGCAUCUAUUGUUCUUGAAGGUCAAGAUUUUCUUUGAGCAGUGAAAGCGAGGUGGAAAGCGAUCAUUACAGUCUUUACUGUGCCUAAAAACUCUUUGAUUUUGUUCAACAUUUGCCAUUUUCCAGACACUCAGACCAGAAGAGUACAUAAGGAUCUGCCAUUCUAGACAGUUCCUCUGUAUUAGCAACAGGUAAUUUUACAGCUGCCAUGUAUGAGAUCAUCAAUUUAGUCUGUGUAGCUGAGAUAGUAAAUGCUUGCUACCUAUGCCUUUAAUUGUUUGCAUGCCCAGUUUCACAAAACCUAUUCUUUAAUCAGACACAGAUAUAUAUUUAUUCUGGAGGUAUUUCUAUGAGGCACUAUCUUUUCUCAUCUUUGAUUCACAGUACUGUGCUCUGGUCACUCUCUCAUAAGUAGUCUCUCUGUUAGCUUGUCCUCUUUACCUUUCCAGUUUUGCUAAGUCUGAAGGUUUGGUCUGCUCUGAUCAUUUAUGAGAUGCAGAAUCUAAGAUGCUUUUUUUAUCUUCCUGCACAUUUAUAAAUCUCUACCUGUUCAACUGCUUUCAGAAUUACAAUGCUGCAGACUUGCCCUUGAUUAUACUUAAAAUUGCUUAGUCACUAGACUUUACAGCAGCUGGAUCUCAUUAAUUAAGUUUAAUAUUAUAAAAUCAUACAAUACAGAUCACAAUUCAAUUGUGACUAACAAAUACUAUAAAUUUCAUGUAUUAAAAUAAUUCAGAUAAAUACAAAUAUGGAUAAGGUAAUGACAUAAUAAUUCAUACUAAAUUGUAAUAGUGGAAUUUCCAUAGGUGAAACUGAGUUAAAGAAAAAAAUAUGACACCCUUAUAGCUUAAAGUAGCAUAGUUUUGCCACUAAAAUCUGAGACCUAUGAACCUUUUAUACAAUUUAAAAGAAUAUAUUUCUUAAUUACUUUUCUAUUUAAUUUCUAUUUCACAGGUUCAUGUUAACAAUAUGGAAGCAACAAUUAUACAAAGCAGUGUAUAGAUUUAAUUCUACAAAUCCUGUGUCAAAACACAUCACUGCCAUGAAAACAAUAAGCGAGAAAUCUGUAAGGCUUAAAGAUGCAGAAUAUUACAUUUAAGUUGGAAAAGAAGUGGAAAAAUGUGCAAUAAUUUAAUUCAGAUUGAAUAUUUUCAUAUUCAGAUUAUUAUUCCUGACUGUAAAACACUGUCAUGGGCUAUAAAUGCAAGGAAUUAAAGUACCAGUGUUCAUUUUUUUACAGCAUACAGAGCCAUGGAUCAAUACUUAUCUAUUUAUAGCUAUUUGUAUAGUUUUCCAAUUUGACCUAAAAAUAUAAUUAAUCUAAAAUUGUAUUGUAUAGUAUAUUUAGAUAUGCUAUCCUAUACAGAUCUUGUUGCUAUAUAUAGUUGGAAAUUUAUAAGCUGAGAGAGAGAAAAUAAAAUCUUACUUCAACAUGUAUGUUUGUGCUGUAAAAACUACAAAAUCUCUUACAGACCAGUAUAGAGAAAGCAAAGAUUAUUUUUCCUUUCCUUACUUAGAAAUUAGAGCUUGUAUUUUUUCUUCUAUUUCUAAUGCAGAUCUCAAAAAGUUUUACUGUAUGUAUUUUUUCUGAGAUUGAUUCCAAGUUUCUUUUUCAUUAAAUUUUUUGAAGUAAAUAUGAAAUAACUAAGACUGAGAAUAGCACAAAAAUCUUUGAAGUGUGUGUGAUGAUGAAGACAAGACUGAUUUACAGAUGAUCUUUUUUCUAGACACGGUACUGGAUGCAGUAGGGCAUUUGAAAAUUUUUUUCUUAUCAAUUUGAUUGUGUAAAUUACAGAGAGGUCAAUUAAAAAAAUAGACAAGUGGUCUAACCAGUGUGCAAAUUCUGACAGUCAAAAAAUUAUUUGAUUGCUGAAAUUGUUAAUUGGAGAAUAAAUCCUGUACAUUUAUUAAAUAAGUUAAAUUUUUGUCUGUUUUCAUUUGAGAAAGUGGACUCAGUGUGGGAAAUAAAGAUUGAAUUUGUCCUCAUUCAAGAUGAAUAACUAGCAAAUUUCAAUAAGUGUAAAGCAAAAAAAAAUUCACAUUGAAUCUAAAGUCUAAUGAAUCAAACAUAAGAGUCCACUAAAUUAAUCUUGUAAUUGGACUAUGCAUCAGUAUACAGAAGAUCAUAGUAUUUUAAAAUUGAUCAGGAGUGGUUCUGAGAGAUUAGACCAGGUGAACUAAAACUCUUUCAUACUACUGUAUCUGAGGUUGACAUCCUAAGACAGAUAUUACAGUUGAAGACCACCUUAGAUGCACUGAAAUAUAAAUUAUCUUACACAAGAUGGAACAUGACAAAAUACAUACAUUUAAAACUAUAACUUACACCAAACAUGCAGAGGUAAUAUGAUUUAUGUGUAGAAACUGCUUAAAUGUAACACUGGGUAUUGGAAUUCUGUAUUAAUUUAUACAUAACAUUCAGACUAACUUUUGGAGGAAUUUUAAAUAGUUGUUAUACAUAAGGUUCUCUAAAAUAGUCUUCUGACUGCUAAGUGUAAAUAAUAUUUGAGAUGUUUGACAGUGUUGUGAAUAAUGUCUAUGUGAACAAGUAAACUUAUUGCAAUUUGUAGUAAAAUUUCGCUAACUACAAGGGCAAUAAAAAUCUAGUGCAGUUAUGCAUAUAAAUUAGAUGUUUUGCAUCUCCAAUUUAUUAAAUUGCAAUAUUUUAAUUACUUGUACAAUAAAUUGCAUAAUUAUGUAAUGAGAACCAGGAGUAAUUAUGUUAAUUGUUGCUUGCCAUUGUAUAUCAAAGAGGAGAAAGUAUUUUCUUGACAAAGCCAUUUUGCAGAAGUGUUAUUUUGCAUGGAGGUGCUAGAAAAUAUCCAUAAUUAAAGUAGUGUCAAAAUUUAUAUUUAUAAUUCUUUAUUUAGCUAUGACUGAAUUCAACAAUUCUUUCUAUUAUUUUGGAUGGCUUUUGGAGUGGUUUCCAAAUAAAAUUAGGACUUAUUAAAAUCCUUAAAAAUUAAUUAGACUGUUCCCUCCUCUCCUCUCCUUUGUGUUCUUUUACAAAAUGCAGAGCCAUCAA
This is a long non-coding RNA of Onychostruthus taczanowskii (white-rumped snowfinch), 3518 nucleotides long. RefSeq lists it as uncharacterized. The record is from RefSeq and is a predicted model, not a curated record. The transcript has 7 exons. NCBI's taxonomy places the organism in Eukaryota, Metazoa, Chordata, Aves, Passeriformes, Passeridae.